AUGCCCUGGCAGUCAGAGGCGAUGAAGGGCGUGCUAAUCUGCGAUAAGCGCCGGUAAGGUGAUAUGAACCGUUAUAACCGGCGAUACCCGAAUGGGGAAACCCAGUGUGAUUCGUCACACUAUCAUUAACUGAAUCCAUAGGUUAAUGAGGCGAACCGGGGGAACUGAAACAUCUAAGUACCCCGAGGAAAAGAAAUCAACCGAGAUUCCCCCAGUAGCGGCGAGCGAACGGGGAGGAGCCCAGAGCCUGAAUCAGCAUGUGUGUUAGUGGAAGCGUCUGGAAAGGCGCGCGAUACAGGGUGACAGCCCCGUACACAAAAGCGCAUGUGCUGUGAGCUCGAUGAGUAGGGCGGGACACGUGGUAUCCUGUCUGAAUAUGGGGGGACCAUCCUCCAAGGCUAAAUACUCCUGACUGACCGAUAGUGAACCAGUACCGUGAGGGAAAGGCGAAAAGAACCCCGGCGAGGGGAGUGAAAAAGAACCUGAAACCGUGUACGUACAAGCAGUGGGAGCACCCUUUGGGUGUGACUGCGUACCUUUUGUAUAAUGGGUCAGCGACUUAUAUUCUGUAGCAAGGUUAACCGAAUAGGGGAGCCGGAGGGAAACCGAGUCUUAAUUGGGCGUUAAGUUGCAGGGUAUAGACCCGAAACCCGGUGAUCUAGCCAUGGGCAGGUUGAAGGUUGGGUAACACUAACUGGAGGACCGAACCGACUAAUGUUGAAAAAUUAGCGGAUGACCUGUGGCUGGGGGUGAAAGGCCAAUCAAACCGGGAGAUAGCUGGUUCUCCCCGAAAGCUAUUUAGGUAGCGCCUCGUGAAUUCAUCUCCGGGGGUAGAGCACUGUUUCGGCUAGGGGGCCAUCCCGGCUUACCAACCCGAUGCAAACUGCGAAUACCGGAGAAUGUUAUCACGGGAGACACACGGCGGGUGCUAACGUCCGUCGUGAAGAGGGAAACAACCCAGACCGCCAGCUAAGGUCCCAAAGUCAUGGUUAAGUGGGAAACGAUGUGGGAAGGCCCAGACAGCCAGGAUGUUGGCUUAGAAGCAGCCAUCAUUUAAAGAAAGCGUAAUAGCUCACUGGUCGAGUCGGCCUGCGCGGAAGAUGUAACGGGGCUAAACCAUGCACCGAAGCUGCGGCAGCGACACUGUGUGUUGUUGGGUAGGGGAGCGUUCUGUAAGCCUGCGAAGGUGGCCUGUGAGGGUUGCUGGAGGUAUCAGAAGUGCGAAUGCUGACAUAAGUAACGAUAAAGCGGGUGAAAAGCCCGCUCGCCGGAAGACCAAGGGUUCCUGUCCAACGUUAAUCGGGGCAGGGUGAGUCGACCCCUAAGGCGAGGCCGAAAGGCGUAGUCGAUGGGAAACGGGUUAAUAUUCCCGUACUUGGUGUUACUGCGAAGGGGGGACGGAGAAGGCUAUGUUGGCCGGGCGACGGUUGUCCCGGUUUAAGCGUGUAGGUGUGUGUUCCAGGUAAAUCCGGUUCACUUUAACACUGAGGCGUGACGACGAGGCACUACGGUGCUGAAGCAACAAAUGCCCUGCUUCCAGGAAAAGCCUCUAAGCAUCAGGUAACAUCAAAUCGUACCCCAAACCGACACAGGUGGUCAGGUAGAGAAUACCAAGGCGCUUGAGAGAACUCGGGUGAAGGAACUAGGCAAAAUGGUGCCGUAACUUCGGGAGAAGGCACGCUGACACGUAGGUGAAGUGAUUUACUCAUGGAGCUGAAGUCAGUCGAAGAUACCAGCUGGCUGCAACUGUUUAUUAAAAACACAGCACUGUGCAAACACGAAAGUGGACGUAUACGGUGUGACGCCUGCCCGGUGCCGGAAGGUUAAUUGAUGGGGUCAGCGCAAGCGAAGCUCCUGAUCGAAGCCCCGGUAAACGGCGGCCGUAACUAUAACGGUCCUAAGGUAGCGAAAUUCCUUGUCGGGUAAGUUCCGACCUGCACGAAUGGCGUAAUGAUGGCCAGGCUGUCUCCACCCGAGACUCAGUGAAAUUGAACUCGCUGUGAAGAUGCAGUGUACCCGCGGCAAGACGGAAAGACCCCGUGAACCUUUACUAUAGCUUGACACUGAACAUUGAGCCUUGAUGUGUAGGAUAGGUGGGAGGCUUUGAAGUGUGGACGCCAGUCUGCAUGGAGCCGACCUUGAAAUACCACCCUUUAAUGUUUGAUGUUCUAACGUGGACCCGUUACCCGGGUUGCGGACAGUGUCUGGUGGGUAGUUUGACUGGGGCGGUCUCCUCCUAAAGAGUAACGGAGGAGCACGAAGGUUGGCUAAUCCUGGUCGGACAUCAGGAGGUUAGUGCAAUGGCAUAAGCCAGCUUGACUGCGAGCGUGACGGCGCGAGCAGGUGCGAAAGCAGGUCAUAGUGAUCCGGUGGUUCUGAAUGGAAGGGCCAUCGCUCAACGGAUAAAAGGUACUCCGGGGAUAACAGGCUGAUACCGCCCAAGAGUUCAUAUCGACGGCGGUGUUUGGCACCUCGAUGUCGGCUCAUCACAUCCUGGGGCUGAAGUAGGUCCCAAGGGUAUGGCUGUUCGCCAUUUAAAGUGGUACGCGAGCUGGGUUUAGAACGUCGUGAGACAGUUCGGUCCCUAUCUGCCGUGGGCGCUGGAGAACUGAGGGGGGCUGCUCCUAGUACGAGAGGACCGGAGUGGACGCAUCACUGGUGUUCGGGUUGUCAUGCCAAUGGCACUGCCCGGUAGCUAAAUGCGGAAGAGAUAAGUGCUGAAAGCAUCUAAGCACGAAACUUGCCCCGAGAUGAGUUCUCCCUGAGACUUAGAGUCUCCUGAAGGAACGUUGAAGACGACGACGUUGAUAGGCCGGGUGUGUAAGCGCAGCGAUGCGUUGAGCUAACCGGUACUAAUGAACCGUGAGGCUUAACCUUACAACGCCGAAG
This 2889-nucleotide ribosomal RNA is filed under the name Salmonella enterica subsp. enterica. RNAcentral's name for it is "bacterial LSU rRNA". It matches the Rfam family "Bacterial large subunit ribosomal RNA". The record is from RNAcentral. Lineage: Bacteria; Pseudomonadati; Pseudomonadota; Gammaproteobacteria; Enterobacterales; Enterobacteriaceae.